Molecule: ribosomal RNA, 501 nt
Filed under: uncultured bacterium
Lineage: Bacteria
Description: partial 16S ribosomal RNA
Rfam family: Bacterial small subunit ribosomal RNA
Source: RNAcentral
AUUGAACGCUGGCGGCAUGCCUUACACAUGCAAGUCGAACGGCAGCACGGGUGCUUGCACCUGGUGGCGAGUGGCGAACGGGUGAGUAAUACAUCGGAACGUACCUUAUCGUGGGGGAUAACGCAGCGAAAGCUGUGCUAAUACCGCAUACGCCCUGAGGGGGAAAGCGGGGGAUCGAAAGACCUCGCGCGAUUAGAGCGGCCGAUGCCUGAUUAGCUUGUUGGUGGGGUAAAAGCCCACCAAGGCGACGAUCAGUAGCUGGUCUGAGAGGACGAUCAGUCACAAUGGGACUGGGACACGGGCCAGACUCCUACGGGAGGCAGCAGUGGGGAAUUUUGGACAAUGGGGGCAACCCUGAUCCAGCAAUGCCGCGUGAGUGAAGAAGGCCUUCGGGUUGUAAAGCUCUUUUGUCAGGGAAGAAACACCGGCUCUAACACAGUCCGGGAAUGACGGUACCUGAAGGAUAAGCACCGGCUAACUACGUGCCAGCCGCCGCCGUAA